AAGUUUAGAGAAGAAUGUCAAAAGGCCAUUGCAUUCUUUUUAGCCUGGGAGGAGAAUAAAAGCACCUCAUCUUUAGUGAUGUUAUAGAGAAGACAGCAAAGGACUUGUUUCCAACAGAGCACGAUGGAAGAGGCUAGACCUGCACCCGCAAAUAUUAACGAAUACGUAGGCCCACAUGCUGCAAGUGAGGAGAGACUAUUAAACCCGCCCACUCCUGGCGGAGAAACUAGCCAUGUAUUAGAUGGUAUCGACGAAAUCAUACAAAGCAACGAUUUCGAAGAUAUACUAGGCCAACUCGAUGCCGAAGGAUUGGAACAAUUUCUUGAUCCGGAAAUAACUUUUGCACCAAAAAGAGGAAAGCCGGAAACAUUCGUAAACUUUCAUCAUACACCGAGCAAUGCUCUGGAAUACCAAUGGAUGUUGAGUGAUGGUCGCUUAGGAGGCUAUGUUUUUGACAAAGAAGAAUGCAGUGUGAAGCUAUAUGUUUUGGCUUCACCGUAUUUGGUGUUUUUAGACUGGAUGAUGCUACACAUCUCAUUUUGUGCUGCCGAUUGGAUAAUGUUUAGGGAUAUUUGGAGUGAUCUUGAUCUUGAACUACCUGUUUCUGAUAGCACCUUCACAGCAUCAUGGAAUAGUUCGGUCUAUACCAAAUGUUACCAUAUUCGUGCUAAUUGUCUUGAAAUACAGGGGUUCAUUCUGUGUAGUGAGGACUACAGAAUAGAAACAUAUGUUGAAGCAAUGUUUGCUGCAGAAAAUGAUGUAGAGAAAUUCACACAAGGUCCUAAAGUGAGGUAUCUAUGGAAAGACAUGCUUGUUUUAAGUAAUGUUUUCAAAAAGGUUGAUAGAUUGUUCAAAUGGAGUGUUGGCUUGGAUAGAUACCAAAGGAUCAAGAGGCGUCUUUUCCCGAUGCGUCACCUUGAUCUAGCCAACGAUAGUGAAGUUAAUGCCCUUAAAAACAAAUGAUGCUGGCUAGCUCAUUGUCUAAAGACUGCUCUAUUGUAUGUACAGUAGGGGCCUCCAUUAACAAACCAUAUCAUGUAACAGUAUGUGAAAUUUGAAAAAACAUGUCAUAGACAACAUAUAACAGCUGUAUGUACAUACUGUAGAUGUUUUUAUCAUUAAUUUGUAUGGCAAUGAAAAUGUGUUUUUUCUAUUUAGCUUUUACACUAUUUAGAUACUUUACCAUUGUAAAUGUGUUUGUGUGGGUGACAAUACAUUUUUUCAAAAUCAUUAUUUGGUGAAAAGGUUAUAAUGGCGGACCCUCUAAAUGUGGUUUACAAUACACACCAUCCAGUGAGGGGUCUUUCGGCGAUAAAACAAGAUUAAA
This is a long non-coding RNA of Alosa sapidissima (American shad), 1327 nucleotides long. RefSeq lists it as uncharacterized. The transcript has 6 exons. The record is from RefSeq and is a predicted model, not a curated record. NCBI's taxonomy places the organism in Eukaryota, Metazoa, Chordata, Actinopteri, Clupeiformes, Clupeidae.